CCCCUUUCAGAGUCACACCUGGAGAGUUUCCGGUACUCUACCAGUCUCUACAAUGGGAGGAAAAGUCAAGCAGAGGCCUACCCAUUCCAUUCCUAGCUUGGCCAAUGGCUAGCGAGUGGAAGGCAAUCUGCUACAAGU
Molecule: small nucleolar RNA, 138 nt
Organism: Ornithorhynchus anatinus (platypus)
Lineage: Eukaryota; Metazoa; Chordata; Mammalia; Monotremata; Ornithorhynchidae
Source: RefSeq, a predicted model, not a curated record